RNAcentral lists this ribosomal RNA (460 nucleotides) under uncultured bacterium. Its description in RNAcentral is "partial 16S ribosomal RNA". It matches the Rfam family "Bacterial small subunit ribosomal RNA", at positions 338 to 795 of the family's 1533-position model. The record is from RNAcentral.
CCUACGGGGGGCAGCAGUGAGGAAUAUUGGUCAAUGGACGAGAGUCUGAACCAGCCAAGUAGCGUGAAGGAUGACUGCCCUAUGGGUUGUAAACUUCUUUUAUAUGGGAAUAAAAUGUUCCACGUGUGGGAUUUUGUAUGUACCAUAUGAAUAAGGAUCGGCUAACUCCGGGCCAGCAGCCGCGGUAAUACGGAGGGUCCGGGCGUUAUCCGGGUUUUUUGGGUUUAAAGGGAGCGUAGGUGGGUUGUUAAGUCAGUUGUGAAAGUUUGCGGCUCAACCGUAAAAUUGCAGUUGAAACUGGCAGUCUUGAGUACAGUAGAGGUGGGCGGAAUGCGUGGUGUAGCGGUGAAAUGCUUAGAUAUCACGAAGAACUCCGAUUGCGAAGGCAGCUCACUGGACUGCAACUGACACUGAGGCUCGAAAGUGUGGGUAUCAAACAGGAUUAGAUACCUGAGUAGUC